Molecule: ribosomal RNA, 386 nt
Filed under: uncultured bacterium
Lineage: Bacteria
Description: bacterial SSU rRNA
Rfam family: Bacterial small subunit ribosomal RNA
Source: RNAcentral
GACGAACGCUGGCGGCGUGCUUAACACAUGCAAGUCGAGCGGUAAGGCCCUUUCGGGGGUACACGAGCGGCGAACGGGUGAGUAACACGUGGGUGACCUGCCCUCAGCUCUGGGAUAAGCCUGGGAAACCGGGUCUAAUACUGGAUAUGACUCCAUGACGCAUGUUGUGGGUGGAAAGCCUUGUGCGGCUGAGGAUGGGCCCGCGGCCUAUCAGCUUGUUGGUGGGGUGAGGCCUACCAAGGCGACGACGGGUAGCCGGCCUGAGAGGGCGACCGGCCACACUGGGACUGAGACACGGCCCAGACUCCUACGGGAGGCAGCAGUGGGGAAUCUUGCGCAAUGGGCGAAAGCCUGACGCAGCGACGCCGCGUGAGGGAUGACGGCCU